Molecule: unclassified non-coding RNA, 274 nt
Filed under: Hevea brasiliensis (rubber tree)
Lineage: Eukaryota; Viridiplantae; Streptophyta; Magnoliopsida; Malpighiales; Euphorbiaceae
Source: RNAcentral
UCUAAAGAAGAAACGAAAACGGAAAUCUGUUAUUUUCAGGCAGUCUUCAGCAGAUGUUGUAGGAAGCAGCAGCCAGCAGGAGGAGCUUGAAGGUGGCCCUGCCCAUGGAGAUGCCACUGUUUCUUGCUCCAUCUCAUUGGUCUCACCACAUGCCAUCCAUCAUCCACAGCCACAGGAAAUGGCAGGAACUUCAACUUCAAGGCUUCCAGGUCUGGAAUCUGACCUCAGCAUACCUGCUUUCAACUUGAACAUGAAUCCAUCAUCCUCAUCUCUG